Molecule: ribosomal RNA, 403 nt
Filed under: bacterium
Lineage: Bacteria
Description: partial 16S ribosomal RNA
Rfam family: Bacterial small subunit ribosomal RNA
Source: RNAcentral
UGGGGAAUAUUGCACAAUGGGGGAAACCCUGAUGCAGCGACGCCGCGUGAACGAAGAAGGUAUUCGUAUCGUAAAGUUCUGUCCUAUGGGAAGAUAAUGACAGUACCAUAGAAGAAAGCUCCGGCUAAAUACGUGCCAGCAGCCGCGGUAAUACGUAUGGAGCGAGCGUUGUCCGGAAUUAUUGGGCGUAAAGGGUACGCAGGCGGUUUAAUAAGUCGAAUGUUAAAGAUCGGGGCUCAACCCCGUAAAGCAUUGGAAACUGAUAAACUUGAGUAGUGGAGAGGAAAGUGGAAUUCCUAGUGUAGUGGUGAAAUACGUAGAUAUUAGGAGGAAUACCAGUAGCGAAGGCGACUUUUUGGACACAAACUGACGCUGAGGUACGAAAGCGUGGGGAGCAAACAGG